Molecule: non-coding RNA, 24 nt
Filed under: Rattus norvegicus (Norway rat)
Lineage: Eukaryota; Metazoa; Chordata; Mammalia; Rodentia; Muridae
Source: RNAcentral
GGAUUCUGCGGACCUCGCUGGUGA